UGAAUACGAGAUGCUACGGCGUCGAAGCAGUCUAUGUCAUACUUCCAAGAAAAGCUUGCACUGUCAUAAACAAAUAAUGCCUGUACCAUAACCGACACAGGUGGGUAGGUAGAGUAUACUAAGGGGCGCGAGAUAACUCUCUCUAAGGAACUCGGCAAAAUGACUCCGUAACUUCGGGAGAAGGAGUGCCUUAUUUUAUAAGGUUGCAAUAACAAGAUCCAAGCAACUGUUUACCAAAAACACAGGUCUCCGCUAAGUCGUAAGACGAUGUAUGGGGGCUGACGCCUGCCCAUUGCCAGAAGGUUAAAGAAGUUGGUUAGCAUCCGCGAAGCUGAUAACUGAAGCCCUGGUGAACGGCGGCCGUAACAAUAACGGUCCUAAGGUAGCGAAAUUCCUUGUCGGGUAAGUUCCGACCCGCACGAAAGGCGUAAUGAUUUGGAUACUGUCUCAGAGAGGGGCUCGGUGAAAUAGACUUGUCUGUGAAGAUGCGGACUACCUGCACCAGGACAGAAAGACCCUAUGAAGCUUUACUGUAACUUGAAAUUGAAAUUGGACUUUACUUGCGCAGUAUAGGUGGGAGGCGUUGAGAAUAUUCUUGCGGGAAUGUUGGAGCCAUCAGUGAGAUACCACUCUUGUAAUGUUAGAUUUCUAACUUUGUAUCAUUAUCUGGUCAAAGGACAGUUUCAGGCGGGCAGUUUGACUGGGGCGGUCGCCUCCCAAACGGUAACGGAGGCGCACAAAGGUUUCCUCUGAACGGGUAGAAAUCGUAUCUAGAGUGUAAAGGCAUAAGGAAGCUUGACUGUGAGACCUACAAGUCGAGCAGGGACGAAAGUCGGUCUUAGUGAUCUGACGGUGCUGAGUGGAAAGGCCGUCACUCAACGGAUAAAAGUUACUCUAAGGAUAACAGGCUGAUCUCCCCCAAGAGUUCACAUCGACGGGGAGGUUUGGCACCUCGAUGUCGGCUCAUCGCAUCCUGGGGCGGUAGUACGUCCCAAGGGUUGGGCUGUUCGCCCAUGAAAGCGGUACGCGAGCUGGGUUCAGAACGUCGUGAGACAGUUCGGUCCAUAUCCGGUGUAGGCGUUAGAAUAUUGAGAGGAGCCUUCUUUAGUACGAGAGGACCGAGAAGGACAUACCUCUGGUGUACCAGUUAUCGUGCCAACGGUAAACGCUGGGUAGCUAUGUAUGGAGUGGAUAACCGCUGAAAGCAUCUAAGUGGGAAGCCCACCUCGAGAUAAGUAUUCUCA
This 1244-nucleotide ribosomal RNA is filed under the name metagenome. Its description in RNAcentral is "bacterial LSU rRNA". It matches the Rfam family "Bacterial large subunit ribosomal RNA", at positions 1564 to 2816 of the family's 2925-position model. The record is from RNAcentral.